Molecule: ribosomal RNA, 253 nt
Filed under: uncultured bacterium
Lineage: Bacteria
Description: partial 16S ribosomal RNA
Rfam family: Bacterial small subunit ribosomal RNA
Source: RNAcentral
UACGGAGGGUGCAAGCGUCAUCCGGAUUUACUGGGUUUAAAGGGUGUGUAGGCGGGCUAUUAAGUCAGUGGUGAAAUCUCCGAGCUUAACUUGGAAACUGCCAUUGAUACUAUUAGUCUUGAAUUUUGUUGAGGUUGGCGGAAUAAGUCAUGUAGCGGUGAAAUGCUUAGAUAUGACUUAGAACACCGAUUGCGAAGGCAGCUAGCUAAACAAACAUUGACGCUGAGGCACGAAAGCGUGGGGAUCAAACAGG